GGUCUGUAGCUCAGUUGGUUAGAGCACCGUCUUGAUAAGGCGGGGGUCGAUGGUUUCGAGCCCAUCCAGACCCCACCAUU
RNAcentral lists this transfer RNA (80 nucleotides) under uncultured Gammaproteobacteria bacterium. RNAcentral's name for it is "tRNA-Ile". It matches the Rfam family "tRNA". From Rfam's summary of the family: Transfer RNA (tRNA) molecules are approximately 80 nucleotides in length. Their secondary structure includes four short double-helical elements and three loops (D, anti-codon, and T loops). Lineage: Bacteria; Pseudomonadati; Pseudomonadota; Gammaproteobacteria. The record is from RNAcentral.